UACGUGAUCCUUCGAGUCCUCCAACAAGGUAGGCCAAUAAUAGCCUUGCCUCAUGAUCUUGUGCGCUAAGGACCUAGCCCCCAAGUGCGAUCCGCAGACGCCCUCAUGGACUUCGCCGAGGACGUAGGCCGCCUCCGAGGGGCGGAGGCACCUUAAGAGGGGGGCGGUGAACGAGGUCCGAUACAGCCUCCCUUCAUAGAGUACGUAGUGGGCGGACUUCUUGACAAGUCGCCGAGCUUGAUCUUCGUCUUCAGGGAGGAUCCCUUCGGCGAGGUAGGCGACGAGCGGAUCCAUCCAAGACGGCUCCGGAUCAAUCGCCAUCACCGCUCCAGCCUCGCCGAUGCUCGGGGCAUCCAGGGUCUCCAGGUAGAUUGCCCUCGACAAGUUGUGCGCCUCUGUGCCCACCAAGCGGGACAACCUGUCGGCCCUGGCAUUUUCGCUUCUGGGGACCUGCUGAAUGUCGACACUGCCG
This 472-nucleotide long non-coding RNA is filed under the name Phoenix dactylifera (date palm). RNAcentral's name for it is "long non-coding RNA (PDAC_LNC022480)". Lineage: Eukaryota; Viridiplantae; Streptophyta; Magnoliopsida; Arecales; Arecaceae. The record is from RNAcentral.